GUGAUUGCUUCAGCUGCACAUAUAUUUAAAUGGGAAAAAUACAGAGAUUAGCAUGGCCCCUUCACAAGGAUGACAUGCAAAUUUGUGAAGUGUCCCAUAUUUUG
Molecule: small nuclear RNA, 104 nt
Organism: Cebus imitator (Panamanian white-faced capuchin)
Lineage: Eukaryota; Metazoa; Chordata; Mammalia; Primates; Cebidae
Source: RefSeq, a predicted model, not a curated record